This 331-nucleotide long non-coding RNA is filed under the name Mytilus galloprovincialis (Mediterranean mussel). The record is from RNAcentral. Lineage: Eukaryota; Metazoa; Mollusca; Bivalvia; Mytilida; Mytilidae.
CAAAACAUCAAUAUAAUAAUAAUAAUAAUAAUAAUAAUUUUCAUUAAUACGUAGAAUUUUGAGAACAACACAUGCAUGCUUUCAAAAUCUACUAGAACUUAUUAACGAGGUGUUACGGGUAGAUGUAGAGUCAGGGAGCUUUGAUACAAAUCCUGACCUAUAAGAGAUGUCGGAUCAACGAAUCCAACCUGAAUCACAACGUAUUGCUGAUCCAUCAAAACCAAAUGAUAAUAUUUUCUUAAACAGUAGUGGGAAUGAUACAGAUAUGUCAAGUAUGGUUGAGCUGUUGGAAAUUAGGGACAUGAGGUCCAAAUUACAUACAGACAAACAA